RNAcentral lists this long non-coding RNA (372 nucleotides) under Olea europaea (common olive). Its description in RNAcentral is "long non-coding RNA (OEUR_LNC008112)". Lineage: Eukaryota; Viridiplantae; Streptophyta; Magnoliopsida; Lamiales; Oleaceae. The record is from RNAcentral.
UUCGUAUUGCUAUUGAUUGUGUGCGUUUGCAUGUUUUACUAGAGAAAACGAGGAACAAAAGAAAAACCGGAAAAAGAACAGAUCUUUACCUCCAUGCUUAGCUUCCUUAACCUGUUGGAUCUUCCGGACAUGUGUGGCCUCCCACCAAGCAUCAUCGGCUGCCGACGAGGCCAUGGCCUGAGAAUUGUGUAGCACAUCGGCAGCCUCCCACGUUAAUUUCUUGCUUUUGUUUAUUAACAAUGUUUUCUAAUUAAAUUCGUAGUUAAGAAAAACGAUGUUGUUUUGAACCUAACCCUGGAUUAUGAUUAUUUAUUGGACAUAUUUAUGGAUGUGUAUCAUUUUUAUUAUUGUGUUUAAUUCAAUUAAUUCCUG